RNAcentral lists this ribosomal RNA (1139 nucleotides) under uncultured bacterium. RNAcentral's name for it is "bacterial SSU rRNA". It matches the Rfam family "Bacterial small subunit ribosomal RNA", at positions 353 to 1482 of the family's 1533-position model. The record is from RNAcentral.
AGUCGAGAAUCAUUCACAAUGGGGGCAACCCUGAUGGUGCGACGCCGCGUGGAGGAUAAGGUCUUCGGAUUGUAAACUCCUGUCAUGCGAGAGCAAGGCUUGUUGGGUAACUCCUGCAAGUUUGAUAGUAUCGCAAGAGGAAGAGACGGCUAACUCUGUGCCAGCAGCCGCGGUAAUACAGAGGUCUCAAGCGUUGUUCGGAAUCACUGGGCGUAAAGGGUGCGUAGGUGGCGUGGAAAGUCAGAUGUGAAAUCCGGAGGCUCAACCUCCGAAUUGCAUCCGAUACUCCCAUGCUAGAGAACUGGAGGGGAGUCUGGAAUUCUCGGUGUAGCAGUGAAAUGCGUAGAUAUCGAGAGGAACACUAGUGGCGAAGGCGAGACUCUGGACAGUUUCUGACACUGAUGCACGAAGGUCAGGGGAGCAAACGGGAUUAGAUACCCCGGUAGUCCUGACAGUAAACGGUGCACGUUUGGUGUGGGAGGAUUCGACCCCUUCUGUGCCGGAGCUAACGCGUUAAACGUGCCGCCUGGGAAGUACGGUCGCAAGAUUAAAACUCAAAGAAAUUGACGGGGACCCGCACAAGCGGUGGAGUAUGUGGCUUAAUUCGAUGCAACGCGAAGAACCUUACCUGGCCUUGACAUGCAUUGUGUCUCCGAUGAAAGUCGGAUAGCGUAGCAAUACGCGCUUUGCACAGGUGCUGCAUGGCUGUCGUCAGCUCGUGUCGUGAGAUGUUGGGUUAAGUCCCGCAACGAGCGCAACCCCUGUGAUUUGUUGCCACCGGAGCAAUCCGAGCACUCGAAUCAGACUGCCCAGAUCAACUGGGAGGAAGGUGGGGAUGACGUCAAGUCAGUAUGGCCCUUACGGCCAGGGCUGCACACGUACUACAAUGCCCAGCACAAUAUGAACCGAAACCGCGAGGUGGAGGAAAUCGAAAAAACUGGGCUCAGUUCAGAUUGAAGGCUGCAACUCGCCUUCAUGAAGUUGGAAUCGCCAGUAAUGGUGCAUCAGCUACGGCACCGUGAAUACGUUCCCGGGUCUUGUACACACCGCCCGUCACAUCAUGGAAGUUGGUUUCGCCCGAAGUGCCCACGCUAACCGCAAGGAGGCAAGGCCCUAAGGCAAGACUGGUAACUGGGAUG